Molecule: long non-coding RNA, 277 nt
Organism: Numida meleagris (helmeted guineafowl)
Lineage: Eukaryota; Metazoa; Chordata; Aves; Galliformes; Numididae
Exons: 3
Source: RefSeq, a predicted model, not a curated record
UUCCUCCUCCUCCCUCUCUGGUUGAUCACAAUUAACAUACUCUGCAGCACAUGCCGAAAGCUCGUGAGAGACUGAAAUCUGACAUUUUUCUUGGAAUUUAUAUAAAGUGGGAAACUGUUAAGAAAAUCUUGCGGCAGGGAACUGCAGGAAAUCAGAGAACAUGGAAGAGGUCUUUGUAAUAGAGAAAUUACACUCACACCAAGUUGGAGUCUCAGGCUCGCCCCCUUUAGAUACUGAAAGGCCGCUCUCAGGUCCACUGGAGCCUUCUGUUCUACAG